This 493-nucleotide ribosomal RNA is filed under the name uncultured bacterium. Its description in RNAcentral is "bacterial SSU rRNA". It matches the Rfam family "Bacterial small subunit ribosomal RNA", at positions 29 to 523 of the family's 1533-position model. The record is from RNAcentral.
AGCGAACGUUUGCGGCGGGCCUAACACAUGCAAGUCGAACGCACUAGCAAUAGUGAGUGGCGCACGGGUGCGUAACACGUGGGUAAUCAACCCUUCAGCUUGGGAUAACGACUUGAAAGGGUCGCUAAUACCGGAUACGGCGCGGGAGGCUUCGGCUUCUCACGAGAAAGCCUCGCAAGGGGCACUGAAGGACGAGCCUGCGGCCCAUCAGCUAGUUGGUGAGGUAAGAGCUCACCAAGGCGAAGACGGGUAGCUGGUCUGAGAGGAUGAUCAGCCACACUGGAACUGAGACACGGUCCAGACUCCUACGGGAGGCAGCAGUGGGGAAUAUUGCGCAAUGGGCGAAAGCCUGACGCAGCCACGCCGCGUGAGCGAUGAAGGCCUCGGGUCGUAAAGCUCUGUGGGGAGAGACGAAGAAAGCCCGUGAAGAGCGGGCCGUUGACGGUAUCUCCUUAGCAAGCACCGGCUAACUCCGUGCCAGCAGCCGCGGUAA